GUGCUCACUUCAGCAGCACAUAAACUAAAAUUGGAAUGAGACAGAGAAGAUUAACAUGGUCCCAACACAAGGAUAACAUGCAAAUUCACAAAGUGUUUCAUAUUUUU
Mustela putorius furo (domestic ferret) is the source of this 107-nucleotide small nuclear RNA. The record is from Ensembl. Lineage: Eukaryota; Metazoa; Chordata; Mammalia; Carnivora; Mustelidae.